CCGUGGAAUUACCAAAUACGAUGUUGGACCCUUUUCCUCUUUCUUUUAUGAAGCUAAUUAAGAUGGUGAGCGACAGAAGAAAAAUCUCCUCCUCUUUACUACUCUCGUAUUACUCUUCUUCUUCUUCUUCUUCUUCUUCUUCUUUUUCCUCCUUGCGGCCAAGGCCGGUACAAUUGGCGCAUAUGAGGCCUCCGAGAUUAGGGUUUCAGAAAGAGAAAUGCCGCACGUGUAGAGAGAAGAACACUGAAAGGUGGACGUGGAGGGCGCAGUUUCGCACGUGAUCGUGGCCGUGACCGCUUUGGAGGAAGUACUAGAGCACACAAUGCAGCAGCCACCACCUCUCACGGCCACUGUGCCGCUGCUCUCUCUGCCCCUUUUCUUGCAGUUUGAAUCUUUCACCUUGCGUGGGCCCAUCGCUGUCAAUAAACUGUAUGUGCAAUGCAAUUUUGUCUGAAAACGAGUUCAGCAGCGAAGUUUUGUAUUGGUUGGUCGCGUGUUAACUCUGUUGAAGUGCUAGGAUUUGUUUGAUUGGUUAGCAUGGUCUCUGGAACAGCUUUACUAUUCUUAUGAGUAGAAUUUAUCAGGAAAGUGUGAAUUUGAAUGCAGAUAAACAAAAGUCGCGAAGUGUGUA
Long non-coding RNA from Ananas comosus (pineapple), 631 nucleotides. RefSeq lists it as uncharacterized. NCBI's taxonomy places the organism in Eukaryota, Viridiplantae, Streptophyta, Magnoliopsida, Poales, Bromeliaceae. The record is from RefSeq and is a predicted model, not a curated record. The transcript is spliced from 3 exons.